GAGCAAGUGCGCAGAAUUACGAGGCAUGGGCUCGCCCGCGGCCGCGUCCUGCAGGAGCAGCGCCCUGCCCAGCCUAGGGGCCGACCCAAACAAACACCGGUCUUGCUGGGAAUAAGGAAAUUAUCCCGAUGCGGCCGGCGGAAGAGCUGACGGACACGGCGCAGGGCGGGGAUGAAGAUGGAGCCCACGCAACGCGCUGCGGGUUUUUCCUCGAUUUCGCCAGAAAAUCAAAACAAGGCAGGGAAAAAAAUGCGAGGGUCUAGAGGAAACAAAUAGCGCAACAAAAUAAAAGCAGCAGCGGGUUUUUGGGAGCCGCUUCUCGCCGGGAUGAGAACCGGGGCUGGAGGCUGGGAACCGGCGGGGCAGAAACACAACGCUGCCACUCGCCCAACAUUUCGAAGGCGAAACCCAAAACCGACCCAUUAAGUCAAUGAGGUUUGUGUUGUGGAGGCUCCUUUCCCAUCCACUUGCUGUUCUGAAAAAUAGAUCGCAUUUCGUUAUCUCGAGCGAGGAUCUGCAACGUGAUACCGGAUCCGCGCCGCCUUCCCCGCCGAACGCGGGGCGCGGGGAGACAGCCAGCUUCCCGGCUUAUUCCCCAACAAUAAAGGAUUUGUGUUUUCUUUCUC
Molecule: long non-coding RNA, 626 nt
Organism: Melospiza melodia melodia
Lineage: Eukaryota; Metazoa; Chordata; Aves; Passeriformes; Passerellidae
Exons: 4
Source: RefSeq, a predicted model, not a curated record